Molecule: unclassified non-coding RNA, 746 nt
Filed under: Hevea brasiliensis (rubber tree)
Lineage: Eukaryota; Viridiplantae; Streptophyta; Magnoliopsida; Malpighiales; Euphorbiaceae
Source: RNAcentral
GCUUGAAAUGCAAGCACAACUCUAUUUGUAGUCUGUGGAAUCUAACAAAGAAGUGUCAUAUCAGAACUGUUACCUGUUUGUUAAAUAUCUCCUGAUCUGUUUUAUCUCAUUGGUGUACUUGAUAUGGGAGCUCCAAACAUCACAUAUUUUAUUUCUUAUGGAAGUUUUGAGUCAUUUGAGUUUCUUUGAUGGAGAUAUAUGGAUAUUAAUUUGAGUGGUGGAAUGUUGCAAAUCAUCUUGCACAAAGUGAGUUUGCAUAAUCAAUCUUGUUUUGGUUUCCAUUCAUUUUGUUGCAUUUUUUCUUAUGGAUGGAUCAAGUUAUUUAUAUGUGCAGGCAAAGCCCCAAAACCCCCGUCCCUCCCCCACAAAUUCUUUUAUUCUGAUUUUUGGCUUUAUUGCUUUUUUGAAAAUCUGGGAUGAUUAUUAUCGUGCUAUUAUAAACUUAUUGCAGGUCUUGUGUAAUUACAACACUCACCCUUUUGUUUCAAAAAUAAACACCUUGGACACUGAGGUUGUUGUUCCAGUUGCUAGCAAUAGAUUAGAGUUUAGCAUCCUUUUCAUCUUUGAUGAAUCAUUCGCUGCUUAUCCGUUUGUACUAUUAGUGUUCCUUCUACACUUUUGUUUUAUAUAAUUCAUUUUUUAUUUUAUUUUUAGGUGUUUGGACCCUACAUUCAUCUUCUUUAUUUAUCAUCACUUUCUUAAGUUGAAUAGAUGUUGGAAAAACCUGAUCAAAUUGUCCUAGAGGA